Molecule: ribosomal RNA, 497 nt
Filed under: uncultured bacterium
Lineage: Bacteria
Description: partial 16S ribosomal RNA
Rfam family: Bacterial small subunit ribosomal RNA
Source: RNAcentral
GAUGAACGCUGGCGGCGUGCCUAACACAUGCAAGUCGAACGAACGGACGAGAAGCUUGCUUCCCUGAUGUUAGCGGCGGACGGGUGAGUAACACGUGGAUAACCUACCUAUAAGACUGGGAUAACUACGGGAAACCGGAUCUAAUACCAGAGAAUAUUUUGAACCGCAGGGUUCAAAAGUGAUAGACGGUCUUGCUGUCUCUAAUAGAUGGAUCCGCGCUGGAUUAGCUAGUUGGUAAGGUAACGGCUUACCAAGGCAACGAUGCAUAGCCGAGCUGAGAGGGUGAUCGGCCACACUGGAACUGAGACACGGUCCAGACUCCUACGGGAGGCAGCAGUAGGGAAUCUUCCGCAAUGGGCGAAAGCCUGACGGAGCAACGCCGCGUGAGUGAUGAAGGUCUUCGGAUCGUAAAACUCUGUUAUUAGGGAAGAACAUAUGUGUAAGUAACUGUGCACAUCUUGACGGUACCUAAUCAAAAAGCCACGGCUAACUACGUG